CCUACGGGAGGCAGCAGUGGGGAAUAUUGGACAAUGGGCGCAACCCUGAACCAGCGAAGUAGCGUGAAGGAAGACUGCCCUACGGGUUGUAAGCUUCUUUUAUAAAGAAAUAAAGUGAGGCAAGUGUACCUUUUUGUAUGUACUUUAUGAAUAACAAUAGGCUAAAUCCGUGCCAGCAGCCGCGGUAAUACGGAGGAUCCGAGCGUUAUCCGGAUUUAUUGGGUUUAAAGGGAGCGUAGAUGGGUUGUUAAGUCAGUUGUGAAAGUCUGCGGCUCAACCGUAAAAUUGCAAUUGAUACUGGCAGGCUUGAGUACAGUUGAGGUAGGCGGAAUUCGUGGUGGAGCGGUGAAAUGCUUAGAUAUCACGAAGAACUCCGAUUGCGAAGGCAGCUUACUAAACUGCCACUGACAUUGAUGCUCGAAAGUGUGGGUAGCAAACAGGAUUAGAUACCCGAGUAGUC
RNAcentral lists this ribosomal RNA (460 nucleotides) under uncultured bacterium. RNAcentral's name for it is "partial 16S ribosomal RNA". It matches the Rfam family "Bacterial small subunit ribosomal RNA", at positions 338 to 795 of the family's 1533-position model. The record is from RNAcentral.